AAUAUCACCAGCUUAGGACAAUGAAGAUUUGUUCAUUGCUGAUGUAAAAGUUACACAAAGGGUCAGGUGGUUCUUGUGGAGGUUCUCCUUUAAGUAGUUUCUUCCAAUUCGUGGUCUCCAGGGUCUCAUUGGAGGAGUUUGCAUGACAGGGAGGUUUAUGAUCAGACCCAGAAAUAGCAACAGAAUUUCCACUCCAUUUCUUUUACCAGAAACUGGUCCUACAGUCACAACACACCUUCAAGGUGUGCUGGAAAAUGCUUGAUCAAUCUCCCCUCUGGGAGGAGCAGGAAAAGAAAAUGUCUUCAUUCCGACUGCCUUACCACACCCUUUGUAGCCCUCAAAAGAGGCAAAAUUUAAGUUUAAUUUGGCCUCAAGCUGAUAGUGUUUUUGGGUGCUGUAGAGAAGACACGAAAACAGCUUCUGAAAGAUUGAAAUUUAAACAACUAAGCUUCACAUUUAAGAGGGAAAAGAAGUUUACAAGGAAACUGAGCUCAUAAACAAACAAAAUCACUGAGCCUGAAAAAGUAAGACAUCACUAGCAAAAAAAAAA
RNAcentral lists this long non-coding RNA (550 nucleotides) under Marmota monax (woodchuck). The record is from RNAcentral. Lineage: Eukaryota; Metazoa; Chordata; Mammalia; Rodentia; Sciuridae.